Molecule: ribosomal RNA, 445 nt
Filed under: uncultured Lactobacillus sp.
Lineage: Bacteria; Bacillati; Bacillota; Bacilli; Lactobacillales; Lactobacillaceae
Description: bacterial SSU rRNA
Rfam family: Bacterial small subunit ribosomal RNA
Source: RNAcentral
GAGUAACACGUGGGGGUAACCCUGCCAAGAGAUCGGGGAUAACACCUGGGAAACAGAUGCUAAUACCGGAUAACAACAGAUGAUGCCUAUCAAACUGUUUAAAAGAUGGUUCUGCUAUCACUCUUGGGAUGGACCUGCGGUGCAUUAGCUAGUUGGUAGGGUAACGGGCCUACCAAGGCGAUGAUGCAUAGCCCGAGUUGAGAGACUGAUCGGCCACAUUGGGGACUGAGACACGGGCCCAAACUCCUACGGGAGGCAGCAGUAGGGAAUCUUCCACAAUGGACGCAAGUCUGAUGGAGCAAACGCCGCGUGAGUGAAGAAGGGUUUCGGCUCGUAAAAAGCUCUGUUGUUGGUGAAGAAGGACAGGGGUAGUAACUGACCCUUUGUUUGACGGUAAUCAAUUAGAAAGUCACGGGCUAACUACGUGCCAGCAGCCGCGGUAAAU